RNAcentral lists this long non-coding RNA (1448 nucleotides) under Salmo salar (Atlantic salmon). Its description in RNAcentral is "lncRNA (ENSSSAG00000099462.1)". Lineage: Eukaryota; Metazoa; Chordata; Actinopteri; Salmoniformes; Salmonidae. The record is from RNAcentral.
AUCUCUCUCUAUGGGGUCAGGCCUAAACUUCUCUUCCUUUUUAUAUAGGCUCUAUAUACAUAUUAAAAUAGGAAUAUCAUACAGCGGACACCUUAGCCUAUAGGUCUAUGCAUGCAAUGCCCUGAUACAAUCAAUCAACCCAAACUGUGCAGCGGCCAAUUGAUGAAUGGAAAGAGACAUCUGUUUCAAAACACCCAAAACUUUAUUGACAUUCGGAGAUGAUCAAGCCAAGCCUUCGACACCCGGUAAACCUACAAGCUGAUCGUUGUCUGCAGCUGGCUCUGAUCUUACUGUAAUGAAAUGGGCAGGGAGAGUGAGCUUAUCUGUGAUGGUCGGCAAACCCUCAACCUGGCCUGUAGCUCUGCAUUGCAUCGACUGUCCCACAAAAGCAUGCUGAUGGCAAAGUCGAUAUCCACAUUUAUAAACACAGGGUCGCUACAGUUAUUGUUAUUUUUGGUCGUAAACAUUGUUUUGAGGUGAGGGUGGGAGGGUGUUCAAUUUACACUGAACAAAAAUAUAAACAUAACACCUAAAGUGUUUCAUGAACUGAAAUUAAAGAUCCCAAAAUGAUCCAUACAGUAUGCACAAAAAGCUUAUUUAGCUCAAAUUCUGUGCACAAUUUUUUUUACAUCCCUGUUCAUGAGCAUUUCUCAUUUGCCCAAAUAAUCCUUCCACCUGACAGGUGUGGCAUGUCAAGAAGCUGAUUAAACAGCAUGAUCGUUACACAUGUGCACCUUUUGCUGGAGACAAUAAAAGGCCACUGUAAAAUGUGCAGUUUUGUCACACAACACAAUGCCACAGAUGUCUCAAGUUUUCAAGGAGUGUGCAAUGUGCAUGCUGACUGCAGGAAUGCCCACCAGAGCUGUGCCAGAGAAUUGAAUGUUAGUUUGUCUACCAUAAGCCGCAUCCAACAUCAUUUGAGAGAAUUUGGCAGUACGUCCAACGGCCUCACAACCGCAGACCACCACAUCCGGCUUCUUCUCAUCCGGCUUCUUCACAUCCGGUUCAUUCAGAUCCGACUUCUUCACCUGCGAGAUGGUUUGAUACCAGCCACCCGGACAGCUGAUGAAACUGUGGGUUUGCACAACCGAAGAAUUUCUGCACAAACUGUCAGAAACCAUUUCAGGGAAGCUCAUCUGCGUGCUUGUCAUCCUCAUCAGGGUCUUGACCGGACUGCAGUUCAGUGUCGUGACUGACUUCAGUGGGCAAAUUCUGACCUUCGAUGGCCACUGGAAUGCUGGAGAAGUGUGCUGUUCACAGAUGAAUCCCAGUUUCAGUUGGACCGGGCAGAUGGCAGACGUGUGCAUGUAUGGCAUUGUGUAGGCAAGCGGUUUGCUGAUGUCAGCGUUGUUAACAAAUUGCCCCAUGGUGGCGGUGGGGGGAUGGUAUGGGCAGGCAUAAGUUACGGACAGCGAACACAAUUGCAUUUUAUCGAUGGCAAUUUAAAU